RNAcentral lists this unclassified non-coding RNA (402 nucleotides) under soil metagenome. RNAcentral describes it as "partial contains 5.8S ribosomal RNA, internal transcribed spacer 2, and large subunit ribosomal RNA". The stretch from base 1 to 121 matches the Rfam family "5.8S ribosomal RNA", at positions 35 to 154 of the family's 154-position model. The record is from RNAcentral.
GAUGAAGAACGUAGCGAAAUGCGAUAAGUAAUGUGAAUUGCAGAAUUCAGUGAAUCAUCGAAUCUUUGAACGCACCUUGCACCCUUUGGCUAUUCCGAAGGGUAUGCCUGUUUGAGUAUCAUGAACACCUCAACUCUCAUGGUUUGCCAUGAUGAGCUUGGACUUUGGGGGUCUUGCUGGCCUGUGGUCAGCUCCUCUCAAAUGGAUUAGCUUGCCAGUGUUUGGUGGCAUCACAGGUGUGAUAACUAUCUACGCUUGUGGUUUUCCACCAGGUAACCUUCAGCAAUGGGGGUUCGCUGGGGCUCAUAAAUGUCUCUCCUCAGCGAGGACAGCUCUUUGAACGUUUGAUCUCAAAUCAGGUAGGACUACCCGCUGAACUUAAGCAUAUCAAUAAGCGGAGGA